UACGUAGGGUGCGAGCGUUAAUCGGAAUUACUGGGCGUAAAGCGUGCGCAGGUGGUUCGUGAUGUCUGGUGUGAAAGCCCCGGGCUUAACCUGGGAAUUGCAUUGGAAACUAGCGGGCUGGAGUGUGGCAGAGGGGGGUGGAAUUCCACGUGUAGCAGUGAAAUGCGUAGAGAUGUGGAGGAAUACCGAUGGCGAAGGCAGCCCCCUGGGAUAACACUGACGCUCAUGCACGAAAGCGUGGGGAGCAAACAGG
This 253-nucleotide ribosomal RNA is filed under the name uncultured bacterium. Its description in RNAcentral is "partial 16S ribosomal RNA". It matches the Rfam family "Bacterial small subunit ribosomal RNA", at positions 524 to 776 of the family's 1533-position model. The record is from RNAcentral.